Molecule: ribosomal RNA, 197 nt
Filed under: uncultured bacterium
Lineage: Bacteria
Description: partial 16S ribosomal RNA
Rfam family: Bacterial small subunit ribosomal RNA
Source: RNAcentral
CAACUCGACUGCACGAAGCUGGAAUCGCUAGUAAUCGCGGAUCAGCACGCCGCGGUGAAUACGUUCCCGGGCCUUGUACACACCGCCCGUCACACCAUGGAAGUCUGCAAUGCCCGAAGCCGGUGGCCUAACCACUUAUGUGGAAGGAGCCGUCUAAGGCAGGGCAGAUGACUGGGGUGAAGUCGUAACAAGGUAGC